UACAGAGGGUGCGAGCGUUAAUCGGAAUUACUGGGCGUAAAGCGUGCGUAGACGGUUAUUUAAGUCGGGUGUGAAAGCCCCGGGCUCAACCUGGGAAUUGCAUUCGAGACUGAAUAGCUAGGGUACGGUAGAGGGAAGCGGAAUUUCCGGUGUAGCGGUGAAAUGCGUAGAUAUCGGAAGGAACAUCAGUGGCGAAGGCGGGUCUCUGGGCCGAUACUGACGCUGAGGAGCGAAAGCGUGGGGAGCGAACAGG
This 253-nucleotide ribosomal RNA is filed under the name uncultured bacterium. Its description in RNAcentral is "partial 16S ribosomal RNA". It matches the Rfam family "Bacterial small subunit ribosomal RNA", at positions 524 to 776 of the family's 1533-position model. The record is from RNAcentral.